This is a long non-coding RNA of Triticum aestivum (bread wheat), 2550 nucleotides long. RefSeq lists it as uncharacterized. The transcript has 5 exons. Lineage: Eukaryota; Viridiplantae; Streptophyta; Magnoliopsida; Poales; Poaceae. The record is from RefSeq and is a predicted model, not a curated record.
UGCACCUUGAGUCGUUCGACUAAAAAAGAAUUAGGGAUUGGGAGGGGAUAAGUGAGCCACCCGCCCAGCCCGCAGCCUGUGGGAGGGAAAAUUUCGUCUCCUAGGUUUCCAGCUCGCUCUGAGCUGCCUUGCCUGGGAGUCUGGUAAGAGGCGUCACCUGCACCCAUUAUCCCACCGGCGCUGCCACCCACCACCGCCUCUCCGCCACUGCGCUCUGGCCCUUUCCCUCCAUUGCUCCUGCUCUCCCUGCAUCUGCUGGCUACUGGAUCCACUCAUCCGCCAGGUUGCAGCAAGCAAGCAAGCAUAACCCUUAGGUCUGAACUGCAAAGUCUACGCCAUUGGAGAUAUCUCCUUCAAGAAGCCAACUAGGAGCAAGGAUCCAGCAAGGAAAUAUGCUUAUUGGCCUGAUCUGACAAGCAAAGACGACAAUCAUGGACAUCCCUGACAAAAGCUCUUUGGACAUGGACAAAACUACCAGUGUGUUCAGCAAUCAAAUCUUGAUGGGAACGAGCAUGGAUCCAACUUGUGCGUUCAGCAAUCAAAUCUUGAUGGGAACGAGCAUGGAUCCAACUUGUGCGUUCAGCAAUCAAAUCUUGAUGGGAACGAGCAUGGAUCCAACUUGUGCGCUCUCCGGAGCAACAACUCCUCCAGAUGGACUCUCUGAUGCGGAGCAUCCCAAGUCCUACCAAGUGCCAAGUAGACUCAUGACACGAGCACGUGCAAGAGCUCUCGAAUCAGAGGUGACAUCACUCCUCUUGCAACUCCCUUUUGAAUCAUAUGAGACAUGGCUACUACCUCAAACAGAGACACUUUGCAUACUUAGGUACCAAGGAGUUAGCCAUGGAGAAGCUAAGGAGCAAGGGGGAUCGGAAGAGGAGGACAUACGCGAAGACGGAGAAGAGAAAGGGCAAGACAACAAAAGCCCGGAUGAUUCGGACCGCCAUUCGGACGAUUCGGCCGCAGCCCGGACGAUCCGAACCACGGCCCGCACAAUCCGACUAUAGCGUCCUCGACCACAGCAGGCCUCUCCGCGAAGCCGGAUCAUCCAGAUGGAGUCCCGGAUCAUCCGGACCCAGCCGGACCUCCGGACUCCACUUCGGACAUCCGGGCCGCCGCCUACCUCCUCGCCAUGUCUGGACCAUCCAGACCAUCUCCCGGAUCAUCCGGGUCCCUGAAGCCCGGAUUGUCCGGCUCCCCUUCCGGAUCAUCCGGACCCCCGCAUGUGCGCGCGUGUUAGGCCGAGGCCCACAUACCCUUUCGUCCCCUUAGCCUAUAUAUACGACUCCUCCACUUUUCUAGGGUUAGCAAUGUGAUAGCUCAUUUUAGAGAUAGAGCUUUGCUCAUCCACUUGAUACUUUCUCCUUCGGAGACCGCAGGAGAAGAUCCCCCAAGUGGAUUCAAGAUCCCUCAUGGGAAGACCCCUCAAGACCUCCUCACGGAGAAGAACUACCGCCUCUUAUGGACUCCCUCAUGUGGAGCAUUCUAAGGUCAUCCCCAUAGACCUAUCAUCAUCUCACCAAGUGCCAAGUGGACCCAUGACACGAGCACGUGCAAGAGCUCUCAAAACCGAGGUGACAUCACUUCUCUUGCAACUCCCUUUUCAUAUGAGACAUGGCUACUACCUCAAACAAAGACAUUUUGCAUACUCAGGUACCAAGGAGUUAGCCAUGGAGAAGCUAAGGAGCAAGGAGGAUCGAAAGAGGAGGACAUACGCAAAGACGGAGAAGAGAAAGGGCAAGACAGCAAAAGCCCGGAUGAUCCAGACCGUCGUCCGGACGAUCCAACCCCAGCCUGGAUGAUCCGGACCAUGGCGCGGACAAUCCGACUACAACGCCCUCGACCACAGCAGGCCUCUUCGCGAAGUCGGAUCAUCCGGACCUAGUCGGAUGUCUGGACCCCACUCCGGACAUCCGGGCCGCCGCUUGCCUCCUCGGCACGUCCGGACCAUCCAGACCAUCUCCCGGAUCAUCCGGGUCCCUGAAGCCCGGAUCGUCCGGCUCCCCUUCCGGAUCAUUCGGACCCCCGCCUGUGCGUGUGUGUUGGGCCGAGGCCAAUGUACCCUUUUGUCCCCUUAGCCUAUAUAUAUGACUCCUCCACUUUUCUAGGGUUAGCAAUGUGAUAGCUCAUUUUGGAGAUAGAGCUUUGCUCAUCCACUUGAUACUUUCUCCUUCGGAGACCGCGACCUUUAUGGAGAAGAUCCCCCAAGUGGAUUCAAGACCCCUCACGGGAAGACCCCUCAAGACCUCCUCAUGGAGAAGAACUACCGCCUCUUGUAUCGUCCUUUGUUGCAUUUGGAUAUUUUAUCAUUCUUUAUGUUCGUGGAUCUAGCACAUGUGUGAUCGUUUCUCGUUGAUUUGAGUAUUUCCCACCUCGUGUUUCACCUCGUGUUAUUGGUGUUCUUCAUAGGAUCCCCUCCAAAUCGUGAAAGAUCGGCCUUAGGGUUUCUUUGUUCGCUAUACCUUUUCCCCUGGCCUCUCCUGUGUUUCAUACAAAAUCUAUUGCAUGCCAGAUGGACUCCCACUAAAGAAGAGAUGUGUAGAUGGAUAGAUA